Molecule: transfer RNA, 93 nt
Filed under: bacterium
Lineage: Bacteria
Also listed under: 1 other name
Description: tRNA-Ser
Rfam family: tRNA
About the family: Transfer RNA (tRNA) molecules are approximately 80 nucleotides in length. Their secondary structure includes four short double-helical elements and three loops (D, anti-codon, and T loops). Further hydrogen bonds mediate the characteristic L-shaped molecular structure. tRNAs have two regions of fundamental functional importance: the anti-codon, which is responsible for specific mRNA codon recognition, and the 3' end, to which the tRNAs corresponding amino acid is attached (by aminoacyl-tRNA synthetases). tRNAs cope with the degeneracy of the genetic code in two manners: having more than one tRNA (with a specific anti-codon) for a particular amino acid; and 'wobble' base-pairing, i.e. permitting non-standard base-pairing at the 3rd anti-codon position.
Source: RNAcentral
GGAGAGAUGUCCGAGAGGCUUAAGGAGCACGACUGGAAAUCGUGUGGGUGGUUAGAAGCCGCCUCGAGGGUUCGAAUCCCUCUCUCUCCGCCA